AUGCAAGCGGCGCCAUGCAUGAAGACUACAUAUAUUCAUUUUUUGUUAGUUAGCAUGGCUCCUCCACUGAUUUUGCUCAAGGUGUUCAUUGUUCUCGAGUUUACUAAAUGUGAUUAUUGGGGCAGGCGAGGUUUGUCAGCAAAUUCAGUUUGUUCCUGUGUUGUGUUUCCAACUAUACUUUGUGCAUUUACCCGAGGGCAUCUUGUUUUGGUCCUUCAUCACACGGUGAUAACAGACAGGAUGCUUGAGGAGCAAGCACGAUCCGUCAAAGUCGAGCACGACGGAUGGAGUCGCGGUCACAGUGACGCUCUCAGAGAACCAAAAUGCUUCUGUGGACCAUUCAUUUCUUCUGUAGAUUAA
This 360-nucleotide ribosomal RNA is filed under the name Triticum aestivum (bread wheat). RNAcentral describes it as "partial small subunit ribosomal RNA". The record is from RNAcentral. Lineage: Eukaryota; Viridiplantae; Streptophyta; Magnoliopsida; Poales; Poaceae.